Molecule: ribosomal RNA, 501 nt
Filed under: uncultured bacterium
Lineage: Bacteria
Description: bacterial SSU rRNA
Rfam family: Bacterial small subunit ribosomal RNA
Source: RNAcentral
AACGAACGCUGGCGGCGCGUCUUAAGCAUGCAAGUCGAACGGCAAGGAAGUGCUUGCACUUCCCUAGAGUGGCGGACUGGUGAGUAACACGUGGGUGACAUACCUUUUAGUUGGGGAUAGCUAUUAGAAAUAGUAGAUAAUACCGAAUGUGACCAUUACAGUUAGAGUGUAAUGAGGAAAGGAGCUAAGGCUCCGCUAAAAGAUUGGCCCGCGGCCCAUUAGCUAGUUGGUGAGGUAACGGCUCACCAAGGCCACGAUGGGUAGCCGGCCUGAGAGGGUGAACGGCCACACUGGGACUGAGACACGGCCCAGACUCCUACGGGAGGCAGCAGUAGGGAAUAUUGCGCAAUGGGCGGAAGCCUGACGCAGCGACGCCGCGUGAGCGAAGAAGGCCUUCGGGUCGUAAAGCUCUGUCCUUGGGGAAGAAGGCGAAAGCUUGACGGUACCCAAGAAGAAAGCCCCGGCUAACUACGUGCCAGCACCGCGGUAAUCAUACUCGUA